Molecule: ribosomal RNA, 453 nt
Filed under: Plectropoda cruciata
Lineage: Eukaryota; Metazoa; Arthropoda; Insecta; Hemiptera; Coreidae
Description: partial large subunit ribosomal RNA
Rfam family: Archaeal large subunit ribosomal RNA (bases 159-371)
Source: RNAcentral
UUUUAUUAAAAGGUUUGUAGGCCUAGCAACAGCCAUCAUUUAUUUCGUUACAGUUAAUUUUUAUUUUAUUUUUAUUUAUGAAUUGGGUUUAAUUUUUUAUUAAAAUUUUUAAUUUAAUUUUUUAAUUUAAGUAAUAAUGAUAGAAUUAGUAGUAUUAAGGUAAACUAAAUAUAGGAAUUCGGCAAAUAUUAUUUCCGCCUGUUUAACAAAAACAUGGCCUUUAGAUUACUUAAUUUUAGGUCUGACCUGCCCGGUGAUUUUAUUUAAACGGCCGCAGUAUUUUGACUGUGCGAAGGUAGCAUAAUCAUUUGUCUUUUAAUUGAAGGCUAGAAUGAAUGGUUGGACGAGAAAUAUACUUUCUUUAUUUAGAUACUGUGAAUUUUAUUUUUGAGUUAAAAAGCUUAAAUAUUUUUGCAAGACGAGAAGACCCUAUAGAAUUUUAUUAUACUUAUU